This 465-nucleotide ribosomal RNA is filed under the name uncultured bacterium. Its description in RNAcentral is "partial 16S ribosomal RNA". It matches the Rfam family "Bacterial small subunit ribosomal RNA", at positions 339 to 795 of the family's 1533-position model. The record is from RNAcentral.
CUACGGGCGGCACCAGUGGGGAAUAUUGGACAAUGGGGGAAACCCUGAUCCAGCAAUGCCGCGUGUGUGAAGAAGGCCUGCGGGUUGUAAAGCACUUUCGGUUGGGAGGACUGCUUCUAGCACUAAUAUUGUUGGAAGUUGACGUUACCUUCAGAAGAAGCACCGGCUAACUCCGUGCCAGCAGCCGCGGUAAUACGGAUGGUGCAAGCGUUAAUCGGAAUUACUGGGCGUAAAGCGCGCGUAGGCGGCUAGAUCAGUCGGGUGUGAAGGCCCCGGGCUUAACCUGGGAACUGCAUCCGAUACUGUCUAGCUUGAGGACAGGAGAGGAGAGUGGAAUUCCACAUGUAGCGGUGAAAUGCGUAGAUAUGUGGAGGAACACCAAUGGCGAAGACAGCUCUCUGGCCUGAUACUGACGCUGAGGUGCGAAAGCGUGGGGAGCAAACAGGAUUAGAUACCCUCGUAGUC